RNAcentral lists this ribosomal RNA (471 nucleotides) under uncultured bacterium. Its description in RNAcentral is "bacterial SSU rRNA". It matches the Rfam family "Bacterial small subunit ribosomal RNA", at positions 331 to 794 of the family's 1533-position model. The record is from RNAcentral.
CCAGACUCCUACGGGAGGCAGCAGUGGGGAAUAUUGCACAAUGGGCGCAAGCCUGAUGCAGCCAUGCCGCGUGUAUGAAGAAGGCCUUCGGGUUGUAAAGUACUUUCAGUCGGGAGGAAGGUGUCAAGGUUAAUAACCUUGGCAAUUGACGUUACCGACAGAAGAAGCACCGGCUAACUCCGUGCCAGCAGCCGCGGUAAUACGGAGGGUGCAAGCGUUAAUCGGAAUUACUGGGCGUAAAGCGCACGCAGGCGGUCUGUCAAGUCGGAUGUGAAAUCCCCGGGCUCAACCUGGGAACUGCAUUCGAAACUGGCAGGCUGGAGUCUUGUAGAGGGGGGUAGAAUUCCAGGUGUAGCGGUGAAAUGCGUAGAGAUCUGGAGGAAUACCGGUGGCGAAGGCGGCCCCCUGGACAAAGACUGACGCUCAGGUGCGAAAGCGUGGGGAGCAAACAGGAUUAGAUACCCCCGUAAA